RNAcentral lists this transfer RNA (76 nucleotides) under Candidatus Uhrbacteria bacterium CG10_big_fil_rev_8_21_14_0_10_50_16. RNAcentral describes it as "tRNA-Arg". It matches the Rfam family "tRNA". Rfam says of the family: Transfer RNA (tRNA) molecules are approximately 80 nucleotides in length. Their secondary structure includes four short double-helical elements and three loops (D, anti-codon, and T loops). The record is from RNAcentral. Lineage: Bacteria; Candidatus Uhriibacteriota.
GCUCCGGUAGCUCAACGGAUAGAGCAAUUCCGUCCUAAGGAAGAGGUUGUAGGUUCAAUUCCUACCCGGGGCACCA